AUUAUCUCUCCAGCCCCUUCAGCCAGCUGUCUCAGUGUUAAGAGUAAACUGAAUCUCAGAGGAGGGAAAGAUUCACUUGGAGGGAGCAAUCAAUAACUAAAUUGACAGCUCAAGCCUCUUGCUUCCAGUUCCUGAUUUUCUAUGAGGGGACCUUGUAGGACCAAAAAGGCUAAUAGAAUUUGACACUUCAGAUUAAUAUGGAGGUUGGAGGGGGACAAAGUUGAAAAGAAUGCCUCCCCAGCCUGACCAUAGCAUGUGUUGGAUACAAGACAGAGAGGGAAACGAGAUAUUCUGAGGUCUGCUUGAAUGGGGUUGGAAUUGUAUUAGUAAAUAUCUCAGGUCCUGGACCUCAGCCGGGUCCAGUAUAGGUGAGUUGGGCUAUGCCAUCUUUAAUGGCAGGGAAGUCUGGGAGGCUGGUGUGGUGAAGGCGGCAGCGAUAGCGACCACAGCUCUUGGUGUACUGUAGGAAGCGGGGUGCACCAGGAAAAAGCACAUGGUCAGCCAAUACAGUGGCGCCAUGUGGGAGCAGAGCAUGGGCCUCCAGUAGCUGCAGAUCCCUUAAGUAAUACCGAGGUCGGUGUGCCAGGAGCACCAGAUCUGCACGAUUCAGCUGGUGCUGAGCUCUUAGGCGUGGGAUCACUUCCUCUGAGCUGCCUGCAAUGAGCUCCACCUGUGGGGAAAGCCAUAGCUGGAGGUGAGGAGAACUGCUUUUCCACGCUAGACCCCACCGGGAUCUGGCUGAUUUAUGCCAGGUAUUAAUCUAGGCCUUCACAAGUGUCUCAAACGUUUCCUCUGACCUCAGAAAUCCAGUAGUCAGUUUCAGUAUUGUAAUUCUAUUGUGUGCCCAUGAAGAAGCUGAGAAUCAGAGGCUAUGUGUUUCCCCUGGGGUCACAUGACUAACCAAAGACUAAGAUUUGGACUCAGACUUGCUGAGCUAUGGAGAGUUUCCUUUUAGCUGCUGCUUUUGUAACCCCGCAGGAAGUAAGUGCAAAAGACUCGGGAUUGUGGGUAGGAGCAGCAUGCCCUCCAGGAUGCCAGCUGCCUGAGUGGAGCUGCUUCCUUGAAUGGGAGUCCCUCAUGAAAGAGGCCUGGUCUGAGCAAUUCCUGGGAUAGCUGAAGAGAUCAGCGUUGGGGCGAUAGGGGCUGACCAUUUGCUCAUCGAAGCCUGCCAGCCGGAUGACUUUUUCAGCCACUGCUGCUGUACGUGAGUCCCGCUCCACAGUGAGAAGGCGACUUCCAGGGGGCAAGGCUCGCGCAAUAAGCAGUGUAGAGUAUCCACAGUAUGUGCCCAGCUCCAGCACACAAGCAGGGGCCUUCUCUUCCACCAGCCGCAUCAGAAUCUGACCUAUGGGUCAAGAUGGCUAUUUUAGAAGACAUUGAAAACAGGUGUGCCCAGAAUCAAACCUGCUGUGCUUUUCUGAAUGUGGUGUUUAUGUGUGAGGCUGACAGGCUGCUUUCCCCUUUCCCACACCUGUCUCCAUCCACCUGGCCAACUUGAAGAGAAGCCUUCCAGUCUCAGUUUAGAUGUUUCUUCCUCCAGGAGGACCCAGGCGAAAUAUCCACCCUACCUUCCAGGUUCCCGAGACAUUUUCAGUUUCAUGCUCAAAUGCACUUCCCCAUUGCUGAUUGUCUUUGAUUUUGGAAUUGAAUAAAUCUCUUAAUACUUAGAAGUACUUGUGCUAUCUCAGCAGACAGCUAUCCUGAGUUGGUUGUGGAAGCCUCUUUGGUAGGGAAGAAAGUCUAGAACAGAUAAUUACAAACCUCUGAGUUAUGGCUAUUCCCCUAUGUUAUGAUCUCUUUGAGGCCAGCAUUUGUGGCUGGUUACCCUCUGUGAUCUCUGCCUCCCUCAGCACCUGGCACAAAAGAGUGGCAAUAAAUGUCUGCUGGAUAACUG
Molecule: long non-coding RNA, 1894 nt
Filed under: Mus musculus (house mouse)
Lineage: Eukaryota; Metazoa; Chordata; Mammalia; Rodentia; Muridae
Description: long non-coding RNA chr7:101899953-101901847
Source: RNAcentral